Molecule: ribosomal RNA, 253 nt
Filed under: uncultured bacterium
Lineage: Bacteria
Description: partial 16S ribosomal RNA
Rfam family: Bacterial small subunit ribosomal RNA
Source: RNAcentral
UACGUAGGGUGCAAGCGUUGUCCGGAAUUAUUGGGCGUAAAGAGCUCGUAGGCGGUCUGUCGCGUCGGCUGUGAAAACCCGGGGCUCAACCCCGGGCCUGCAGUCGAUACGGGCAGACUAGAGUUCGGUAGGGGAGACUGGAAUUCCUGGUGUAGCGGUGAAAUGCGCAGAUAUCAGGAGGAACACCGAUGGCGAAGGCAGGUCUCUGGGCCGAUACUGACGCUGAGGAGCGAAAGCGUGGGGAGCGAACAGG